RNAcentral lists this long non-coding RNA (1885 nucleotides) under Pocillopora damicornis (cauliflower coral). Its description in RNAcentral is "uncharacterized LOC113665286". The record is from RNAcentral. Lineage: Eukaryota; Metazoa; Cnidaria; Anthozoa; Scleractinia; Pocilloporidae.
CAUCUUGCUAAGUUGUUUUUUCGUUGAUUUGAGAAUUUUAGCCUUACCUGAAAAAUGCCCAAGGUUGUGUCCCGCAGUAUAGUGUGCUCUGACACCAAAGACAAAGAAGAAUACAAUCAAGGCGCAACAACUUUGACUGUUUAUCACUGUCUAUGCGGACAGAUGGCUUUGAUUCUCGACAGUACCCUGGAAAAGCUUCCUUUGCGAAGAACAGACCAUGCAAGAGUCAUAGACGGUUCAAAACAUGCUUACAAGCUCACAUGUGAUGAUGGCGACACUGUUUUUUUAAGAAGGUACAUUUCCAUCUAACCUUGCACGGUUAUGGAUUAUAAAUACAUCCCAGUGUUUAUUAACUGCCCUAUAAGACGGUUUGCUCUGAUAAUUCCCGUAGUAGAAUCUGUUACGUACAGUGUAUCCUGAAGGUACUGAGGUCCAAUAUGGGAGAUAGCCUGAUAUUUUUCAAAUGAAUGAAUGAAUGAAGGACUUUAUUAAAGUAUCAAUAGUAUUUAGCUUGAAGAAAUCUAAUUGGGGACACUGUUUGCCCAUUAAAAUAUACCUAAGCUACAUAAUGUUAAAAAUAUUUACACUUCAAUUCAUAAUGUAUAGAAUAGAUAGACAAAUGAAUAAAUGAAUGAAGUAUAAGAACUUAGUUAAAUAAGCUUAUAAGAUAUCAAAUAUAUAUAAAUGUAAAAUUCAAAGCAGCCUAGUGGCAUAUAUCACAGCUUUUACAAUUAUUUACUAAGAGUGAUAGGUCUUUGCUCUUAAUACUGUUUUUAAAACUCAUAAAAUCAGGAUUCUUUCUAUCACUUUGUUCUAAUUUAUUCCAAAGAUGGGGCCCAAAGUAUCAUAGAGAAUGUUUUCCAUUGUGUGCCUGUGUUCCUUAGAUUAUAUAGUUUCAGGGCAGUAUUGAAUAUUUCAGUUUUAUAAGUGGGCAUAAGCCCUUUCUUACUUUAUAUGUGAAAUUGGUGAUGUUUUGAAACUGUUGUUGGUACCAACUAAGUAGACUUGCUCUUGUUAGUAACUCACUGUAGGUCUUUAAUUUGGAAGAGCCGUAUGCUUUGAGUUUCUGAAUCAUUAGUGCAGGGUGCAGAAAAUCAAAAGCUUUGCUUAUAUUGGUGUAUAGAACAGUCACAUACUCUUUAUUGUUGGCAGCCAUUUUUCAUUCCUCUGUUAGUCUUAUUAAUGUUAUUUCACAGCUAUGUGUUUUUCUGUGGCCAGACGUUUUCUGGUUAAGAUGUGGAUCCAUGGUUUUCAUGAUUUGCUUGGAAAUUAAUGAUUUUAAUAUUUUAAUAGAGUUCAGUACUGUUAUAGGUUGGUAAUUUCCCCGGUUGGUUUUAUCUCCUUUCUUGAAGACAGGGGUCCACUCCCUCAUUUUCCACAUGUUUGGCCAAUUUCCCUUCGUAGUGAUGGUGUUCUUGAGACUUGUUAAGGACAGUGCCAGACCUCUGGUAGUUAACUGUAAAACUUUUGGAGAGAUUCCAUCCCACCCUGUGGCUUUGUUUCAUUUAACAGGGUGUCAAGUUCCUAUUUUUUCCUAUUUUUUGGCCUGCCUCCUAUAUUCUCCUAUUUUUUCAUGAAAUUCCUAGUUUUUCUUAUUUUUUCAGGGUUUUACUGAGUACAUAGAAACAUCUUGAGAUAUUUGAAAUAAAAUUGCCAAUAAAAUUGAUAAAUUCUUUAAAAAACUGAAACUUCAUGUCAAAAAAGACCAGUUUGAAGCCUCUCUUAGGAAUUUUUAUGUAUCUAAUGAAAUUUGGAAUCUAGUAAUUGUUGUAGGAUGAGUUGUGCUUGGUAACAUAGGUGAUAACACUUGUUUUUGUUUAUACGACAAUGCAUUGUGGAUGUAUGCCAUGGUGCCUGUUAAAUAUUAAAGUAUUGAGUUGUGGAA